This 439-nucleotide ribosomal RNA is filed under the name uncultured bacterium. RNAcentral's name for it is "partial 16S ribosomal RNA". It matches the Rfam family "Bacterial small subunit ribosomal RNA", at positions 338 to 795 of the family's 1533-position model. The record is from RNAcentral.
CCUACGGGGUGCUGCAGUGGGGGACAUUGCACAAUGGGGGGAACCCUGAUGCAGCGACGCCGCGUGUGGGAAGACGGUCCUCUGGAUUGUAAACCACUUUCCCAGGGACGAAAAUGACGGUACCUGGGGCGGAAGCGCCGGCUAACUACGUGCCAGCAGCCGCGGUAAUACGUAGGGAGCGAGCGUUGUCCGGAAUUACUGGGUGUAAAGGGAGCGUAGGCGGGGAUGCAAGUUGGGUGUCAAAACUACCGGCUCAACUGGUAGUCGCACUCAAAACUGCAGCUCUUGAGUGAAGUAGAGGCAGGCGGAAUGCCUGGUGUAGCGGUGAAAUGCGUAGAUAUUAGGAGGAACACCAGUGGCGAAGGCGGCCUGCUGGGCUUUUACUGACGCUGAGGCUCGAAAGUGUGGGGAGCAAACAGGAUUAGAUACCCGUGUAGUC